Molecule: ribosomal RNA, 503 nt
Filed under: uncultured bacterium
Lineage: Bacteria
Description: bacterial SSU rRNA
Rfam family: Bacterial small subunit ribosomal RNA
Source: RNAcentral
AGAGUUUGAUCCUGGCUCAGGAUGAACGCUAGCGGCAGGCCUAAUACAUGCAAGUCGAACGGUAAGGCCCUUUCGGGGGGUACACGAGUGGCGACGGGUGCGUAACGCGUAUGCAACAUACCUUCAAGCGGGGGAUAUGCCAGGGAAACUUGGUGCAACACCCCAUAGCAUUUCGGGACCGCAUGGUCUUGGGGAUUAAAUAUUUAUAGCUUGGAGAUUGGCAUGCGUGACAUUAGCUAGUUGGCGGGGUAACGGCCCACCAAGGCGACGAUGUCUAGCUGGGUCUGAGAGGAUGAUCAGCCACACUGGGACUGAGACACGGCCCAGACUCCUACGGGAGGCAGCAGUAGGGAAUAUUGGACAAUGGGGGGAACCCUGAUCCAGCCAUGCCGCGUGAGGGGAAGAAGGGUCCUCUGGAUUGUAAACCUCUUUUGGCGGGGGACAAACCUGCACUAUACGUGCAGCUGAGGGUACCCGCAGAAUAAGCACCGGCUAACUCCGUG